AAAUGGUGUAACUGGGUGGUGGCUGGGUAGGGCCGCCCACUCCGGCUCCUGGUGUAACAGACAUAAUGGCCUUAGGUUCUCGCAGAAGCAGAGGCAGCAGGAGGACAUUUUUGCUCCCUGGCUUCAGGUAGGAUUUGGCUAAGAUUUGGCUAAGAUUUUAAACUGAGUGUGGGCUUGGCUCCUGUGGUCAAAGUCUAACUGUUGUGUGACUGUUGUGUUGAAAGAAAGGCACCUUUACUAACUAUCCUUUGCAGUACAUACAGGAAACAAAGCAACAUAAACAAAUACACAAAGAGGUGGUUUGUUGCAGUUUGCACAUAAAGUGCGUGCAUAUUACUUAACUGUACAAAGAUCCCACUUGGCCACCACGCUCACCAAGAGAUGCAACAAAAGCAAAACAUUCCCAUCACAUGCACCAGCUGUGGCAUGUUCCGCUUUUUCACACAAAAACUAGACAACUACAUCUGCUCCAAAUGCAAACAGAUGACUCUGAUGGAGCAGAGGAUCCAACAGCUCGAGCACCGUAUUAAGACCCUUAAGGACAUUCAGGCACUCGAGCUCUUCUUGGACACUGCACAACACGCUGUUGUAGAUCAGCAGCCUGCAUCACACCAACACCACCAAGACCAUGAUCAGGAACCUUAUGGGGAGAUCAACUCAAAGGUAGACAACCCUCAGGCUUGGAAGGAGGUCACCCAUAGAAGGAGACGCAGGACCAGGCAGCCUCCGCAGAACUCCUCUGCUCAGCUGCAUUUACACAACAGAUUUGAAAUUCUUACAUCAUUAACAUACAAUCAGGAAACACAUCUUGUGGAGGACCACAGUUUCUUAGAUACCACUCAGUGGACCACCCUGGAUCAAUGCGCAGGGGAUAGCCCUGACGGGGACAGUGCAUCACUACAGUCACACUUAUGUAAUCAUGCAAAUGCUCCAUCCCCAAUCAUAGACCAGGAGCAACAGGAACAUCCUUGGGAGAGUAAUGGGCUCUCGGAUGUAUCUCAAUGGAUUGUCAUUGAUGAAUGCACUGGGGAUGUUGAGGAGGAGGACAACACUUUACACCUACAUGAUUCACUUCAACAGGAACACUCUUCAGGGGACAUACACACUGUCUUGCACAAAAGGGACCCUGUCAAUCCUCAAAGGAAACAGGUCUUGGUAGUAGGUGACUCCCUCCUUAGAGGAACGGAAGCCAUCAUUUCCAGACCGGAUGGGAUGGCUCGAGAAACAUGCUGCCUCCCGGGGGCAAAAAUACACCAUAUCACUCAGAGGCUCAGCAGGCUCCUAAAGCCCCAUCACCCUCCCCACCUUAUGUUGAUACAUGUAGGUACCAAUGACACCGCUAGGCAUACUUUUCAAAAGAUCACAAAUGAU
This 1371-nucleotide long non-coding RNA is filed under the name Anolis carolinensis (green anole). RNAcentral's name for it is "lncRNA (ENSACAG00000029613.2)". The record is from RNAcentral. Lineage: Eukaryota; Metazoa; Chordata; Lepidosauria; Squamata; Anolidae.